This 644-nucleotide ribosomal RNA is filed under the name Pediococcus pentosaceus. RNAcentral describes it as "bacterial SSU rRNA". It matches the Rfam family "Bacterial small subunit ribosomal RNA", at positions 45 to 681 of the family's 1533-position model. The record is from RNAcentral. Lineage: Bacteria; Bacillati; Bacillota; Bacilli; Lactobacillales; Lactobacillaceae.
UGAUUAUGACGUACUUGUACUGAUUGAGAUUUUAACACGAAGUGAGUGGCGAACGGGUGAGUAACACGUGGGUAACCUGCCCAGAAGUAGGGGAUAACACCUGGAAACAGAUGCUAAUACCGUAUAACAGAGAAAACCGCAUGGUUUUCUUUUAAAAGAUGGCUCUGCUAUCACUUCUGGAUGGACCCGCGGCGUAUUAGCUAGUUGGUGAGGUAAAGGCUCACCAAGGCAGUGAUACGUAGCCGACCUGAGAGGGUAAUCGGCCACAUUGGGACUGAGACACGGCCCAGACUCCUACGGGAGGCAGCAGUAGGGAAUCUUCCACAAUGGACGCAAGUCUGAUGGAGCAACGCCGCGUGAGUGAAGAAGGGUUUCGGCUCGUAAAGCUCUGUUGUUAAAGAAGAACGUGGGUAAGAGUAACUGUUUACCCAGUGACGGUAUUUAACCAGAAAGCCACGGCUAACUACGUGCCAGCAGCCGCGGUAAUACGUAGGUGGCAAGCGUUAUCCGGAUUUAUUGGGCGUAAAGCGAGCGCAGGCGGUCUUUUAAGUCUAAUGUGAAAGCCUUCGGCUCAACCGAAGAAGUGCAUUGGAAACUGGGAGACUUGAGUGCAGAAGAGGACAGUGGAACUCCAUGGGUAAAAC